This 467-nucleotide ribosomal RNA is filed under the name uncultured bacterium. Its description in RNAcentral is "partial 16S ribosomal RNA". It matches the Rfam family "Bacterial small subunit ribosomal RNA", at positions 28 to 507 of the family's 1533-position model. The record is from RNAcentral.
GACGAACGCUGGCGGCGCGCCUAACACAUGCAAGUCGAACGGAGCUGAGAGAAGCUUGCUUUUCUUAGCUUAGUGGCGAACGGGUGAGUAACGCGUGAGUAACCUGCCCUGAGUGGGGGACAACAGUUGGAAACGACUGCUAAUACCGCAUAAGCCCACGAUCCGGCAUCGGAUUGAGGGAAAAGGAUUUAUUCGCUUCAGGAUGGACUCGCGUCCAAUUAGCUAGUUGGUGAGGUAACGGCCCACCAAGGCGACGAUUGGUAGCCGGACUGAGAGGUUGAACGGCCACAUUGGGACUGAGACACGGCCCAGACUCCUACGGGAGGCAGCAGUGGGGGAUAUUGCACAAUGGGGGAAACCCUGAUGCAGCGACGCCGCGUGGAGGAAGAAGGUUUUCGGAUUGUAAACUCCUGUCGUUAGGGACGAUAAUGACGGUACCUAACAAGAAAGCACCGGCUAACUACGUG